UGUUUAACUUGAGUGCAGGAGAGGAAAGUGGAWUUCCUAGUGUAGCGKUGAAAUGCGUAGAUAUUAGGAGGAAUACCAGKGGCGAAGGCGAYUUUCUGGACUGCAACUGACACUGAGGCACGAAAGCGUGGGGAGCAAACAGGAUUAGAUACCCUGGUAGUCCACGCCGUAAACGAUGAGUACUAGGUGUCGGGUGAARAACUCGGUGCCRAAGUUAACACAUUAAGUACUCCGCCUGGGGAGUACGCUCGCAAGAGUAAAACUCAAAGGAAUUGACGGGGACCCGCACAAGCAGCGGAGCAUGUGGUUUAAUUCGAAGCAACGCGAARAACCUUACCUAAACUUGACAUACCAAUGACAGCCUUUUAAUCGRGGACUUUUACCUUCGGGUARACAAUGGAUACAGGUGGUGCAUGGUUGUCGUCAGCUCGUGUCGUGAGAUGUUGGGUUAAGUCCCGCAACGAGCGCAACCCUUGUCGAUAGUUACCAGCAGUAAGAUGGGGACUCUAUCGAGACAGCUAAGGACAACUWAGA
RNAcentral lists this ribosomal RNA (534 nucleotides) under uncultured Filifactor sp. RNAcentral's name for it is "bacterial SSU rRNA". The record is from RNAcentral. Lineage: Bacteria; Bacillati; Bacillota; Clostridia; Peptostreptococcales; Filifactoraceae.